UGGCGGCAUGACUAAUACUAGCAAGUCGAGCGAAUGACGAAGAAGCUUGCUUCUUCUGAUUUAGCGGCGGACGGGUGAGUAACACGUGGGCAACCUGCCCUGUAGAUUGGGAUAACUCCGGGAAACCGGGGCUAAUACCGAAUAAUCCAUUUCCUCACAUGGGGAGAUGUUAAAAGACGGCAUCUGCUGUCACUACAGGAUGGGCCCGCGGCGCAUUAGCUAGUUGGUGAGGUAACGGCUCACCAAGGCGACGAUGCGUAGCCGACCUGAGAGGGUGAUCGGCCACACUGGGACUGAGACACGGCCCAGACUCCUACGGGAGGCAGCAGUAGGGAAUCUUCCACAAUGGACGAAAGUCUGAUGGAGCAAUGCCGCGUGAGUGAAGAAGGUUUUCGGAUCGUAAAACUCUGUUGUGAGGGAAGAACAAGUACGAGAGUAACUGCUCGUACCUUGACGGUACCUCAUUAGAAAGCCACGGCUAACUACGUGCCAGCAGCCGCGGUAAUACGUAGGUGGCAAGCGUUGUCCGGAAUUAUUGGGCGUAAAGCGCGCGCAGGCGGUCCUUUAAGUCUGAUGUGAAAUCCCACGGCUCAACCGUGGAAGGUCAUUGGAAACUGGGGGACUUGAGUACCGAAGAGGAAAGCGGAAUUCCAAGUGUAGCGGUGAAAUGCGUAGAGAUUUGGAGGAACACCAGUGGCGAAGGCGGCUUUCUGGUCUGUAACUGACGCUGAGGCGCGAAAGCCUUGGGAGCAAACAGGAUUAGAUACCCUGGUAGUCCACGCCGUAAACGAUGAGUGCUAAGUGUUAGGGGGUUUCCGCCCCUUAGUGCUGCAGCUAACGCAUUAAGCACUCCGCCUGGGGAGUCCGUCGCAGACUGAACUCAAGGAUUGACGGGGCCGCACAGCGGUGGAGCAUGUGGUUAUUCGAGCACGCGAGAACUUACCAGGUCUUGACAUCCCGCUGACCGCCUAAAGAUAGCUUUUCCUUCGGGACAGCGGUGACAGUGUGCAUGGUGUCGUCAGCUCGUGUCGUGAGAG
This 1037-nucleotide ribosomal RNA is filed under the name Psychrobacillus psychrodurans. Its description in RNAcentral is "bacterial SSU rRNA". It matches the Rfam family "Bacterial small subunit ribosomal RNA", at positions 37 to 1073 of the family's 1533-position model. The record is from RNAcentral. Lineage: Bacteria; Bacillati; Bacillota; Bacilli; Caryophanales; Bacillaceae.